RNAcentral lists this ribosomal RNA (253 nucleotides) under uncultured bacterium. RNAcentral describes it as "partial 16S ribosomal RNA". It matches the Rfam family "Bacterial small subunit ribosomal RNA", at positions 524 to 776 of the family's 1533-position model. The record is from RNAcentral.
UACGAAGGGGGCUAGCGUUGCUCGGAAUCACUGGGCGUAAGGCGCACGUAGGCGGCUUGUUAAGUCAGGGGUGAAAUCCUGGAGCUCAACUCCAGAACUGCCUUUGAUACUGGCGAGCUUGAGUCCGGGAGAGGUGAGUGGAACUGCGAGUGUAGAGGUGAAAUUCGUAGAUAUUCGCAAGAACACCAGUGGCGAAGGCGGCUCACUGGCCCGGUACUGACGCUGAGGUGCGAAAGCGUGGGGAGCAAACAGG